UACGGGGGGGGCAAGCGUUGUUCGGAAUUACUGGGCGUAAAGGGCGCGUAGGCGGCCAACUAAGUCAGACGUGAAAUCCCUCGGCUUAACCGGGGAACUGCGUCUGAUACUGGAUGGCUUGAGGUUGGGAGAGGGAUGCGGAAUUCCAGGUGUAGCGGUGAAAUGCGUAGAUAUCUGGAGGAACACCGGUGGCGAAGGCGGCAUCCUGGACCAAUUCUGACGCUGAGUGAGCGAAAGCCAGGGGAGCAAACGGG
This 254-nucleotide ribosomal RNA is filed under the name uncultured bacterium. Its description in RNAcentral is "partial 16S ribosomal RNA". It matches the Rfam family "Bacterial small subunit ribosomal RNA", at positions 524 to 776 of the family's 1533-position model. The record is from RNAcentral.